UAGGGAAUCUUCCGCAAUGGGCGAAAGCCUGACGGAGCAACGCCGCGUGAGUGAUGAAGGUCUUCGGAUCGUAAAACUCUGUUAUUAGGGAAGAACAAAUGUGUAAGUAACUAUGCACAUCUUGACGGUACCUAAUCAGAAAGCCACGGCUAACUACGUGCCAGCAGCCGCGGUAAUACGUAGGUGGCAAGCGUUAUCCGGACUUAUUGGGCGUAAUGCGCGCGUAGGCGGUUUUUUAAGUCUGAUGUGAAAGCCAAGGGCUAAACCGGGGAGGGUCAUUGGAAACUGGAAAACUUGAGUGCAGAAGAGGAAAGUGGAAUUCAAUGUGUAGCGGUGAAAUGCGCAGAGAUAUGGAGGAACACCAGUGGCGAAGGCGACUUUCUGGUCUGUAACUGACGCAGAUGUGCGAAAGCGUGGGGAUCAAACAGG
RNAcentral lists this ribosomal RNA (429 nucleotides) under Bacteroidota bacterium. Its description in RNAcentral is "Bacteroidetes bacterium partial 16S ribosomal RNA". It matches the Rfam family "Bacterial small subunit ribosomal RNA", at positions 355 to 776 of the family's 1533-position model. Lineage: Bacteria; Pseudomonadati; Bacteroidota. The record is from RNAcentral.